GAUGAACGCUGGCGGCGUGCCUAAUACAUGCAAGUCGAGCGAACGGACGAGAAGCUUGCUUCUCUGAUGUUAGCGGCGGACGGGUGAGUAACACGUGGAUCACCUACCUAUUAGACUGGGAUAACUUCGGGAAACCGGAGCUAAUACCGGCUAAUAUUUUGUACCGCAUGGUUCAAAAGUGAAAGACGGUCUUCCUGUUACUUUUAGAUGGAUCCGCGCUGCAUUAGCUAGUUGGUAAGGUAACGGCUUACCAAGGCAACGAUGCAUAGCCGACCUGAGAGGGUGAUCAGCCACACUGGAACUGAGACACGGUCUAGACUCCUACGGGAGGCAGCAGUAGGGAAUAUUGCGCAAUGGGCGAAAGCCUGACGGAGCAACGCCGCGUGAGUGAUGAAGGUCUUCGGAUCGUAAAACUCUGUUAUUAGGGAAGAAAAUAUGUGUAAGUAACUGUGCACAUCUUGACGGUACCUAAACAGAAAGCCACGGCUAACUACGUG
RNAcentral lists this ribosomal RNA (497 nucleotides) under uncultured bacterium. RNAcentral's name for it is "partial 16S ribosomal RNA". It matches the Rfam family "Bacterial small subunit ribosomal RNA", at positions 28 to 507 of the family's 1533-position model. The record is from RNAcentral.